This 423-nucleotide ribosomal RNA is filed under the name uncultured prokaryote. Its description in RNAcentral is "bacterial SSU rRNA". It matches the Rfam family "Bacterial small subunit ribosomal RNA", at positions 355 to 774 of the family's 1533-position model. The record is from RNAcentral.
UAAGGAAUAUUGGUCAAUGGACGCAAGUCUGAACCAGCCAUGCCGCGUGAAGGAAGACGGCCCUACGGGUUGUAAACUUCUUUUGUACAGGAAAAAACCACCGGUCGUGACUCGGUGCUGAUGGUACUGUAAGAAUAAGGAACGGCUAACUCCGUGCCAGAAGCCGCGGUAAUACGGAGGAUCCAAGCGUUAUCCGGAUUCAUUGGGUUGAAAGGGUGCGCAGGCGGAAUGAUAAGUCAGUGGUGAAAUCCUACAGCUUAACUGUAGAACUGCCAUUGAUACGGUCGUUCUUGAGUACACUUGGAGUGGGCGGAAUGUGUCAUGUAGCGGUGAAAUGCUUAGAUAUGACACAGAACACCGAUCGCGAAGGCAGCUCACUAAGUUGUAACUGACGCUCAGGCACGAAAGCGUGGGGAUCAAACA